This is a long non-coding RNA of Dendronephthya gigantea, 374 nucleotides long. RefSeq lists it as uncharacterized. The record is from RefSeq and is a predicted model, not a curated record. NCBI's taxonomy places the organism in Eukaryota, Metazoa, Cnidaria, Anthozoa, Malacalcyonacea, Nephtheidae. The transcript has 2 exons.
UACUAUUGGAAUGAUGUGUAAAAUGAUAAACAAGAUGAAUUCAACAGUAAUUGAAGAGUCAAAAGCAACGCAAUGUUACACAGAGGGGUUGGAAGGAUUCGACUCUCACAGAAGCAUGGAAGGCUUUGAAAAAACAGUGGAAACAACACAAGAUUGCAAAAACACUAUUUAUUGCAAUUAAUGAUAUAAUAUUUUAACAACAAAGUCACAUUACAAUUUUAUAUUACCUAUACUUACAGCUGUAUAAUUUUGGAAUGAAUUGUCCCAUGAUUGUCCCACCUACAUGUCCCAUAUUAUGUACCCACCACACAAGGAAUUCAUUGUUAAUAAAGUAGAGAGGGCAGUUGUUUUUGAAAUAAAUCAAAAUAGUUUGA